This 225-nucleotide long non-coding RNA is filed under the name Ananas comosus (pineapple). RNAcentral describes it as "long non-coding RNA (ACOM_LNC031830)". Lineage: Eukaryota; Viridiplantae; Streptophyta; Magnoliopsida; Poales; Bromeliaceae. The record is from RNAcentral.
UAUUUAUAAAUAUCAUAGCAAUAAUUUUUUCACUCCACAAAUAACACCGAGUAACGUUACUUGUAUGCUUCUAAAAAAACCGACCGUCCCUAAAGCAAGUGGCAAAGGAUUUGAUGAUUGGUAUCCGAGACUCAAGUUCGAAUCCUGAUUGAUUCACAUUUCCAGCUAAGUUUAUUUCUAAAUAAAAUAAACGAAACGGAUAGCGUACUACCUCGCUAUAUAUAU